UGAGGAAUAUUGGUCAAUGGGCGGGAGCCUGAACCAACCAAGCCGCGUGAGGGAGGAAGGCCCUAUGGGUCGUAAACCUCUUUUGUCAGGGAACAAAAGCGAGUAUGUAUACUAGUCUGAGUGUACCUGAAGAAAAAGCAUCGGCCAACUCCGUGCCAGCAGCCGCGGUAAUACGGAGGAUGCGAGCGUUAUCCGGAUUUAUUGGGUUUAAAGGGUGCGUAGGCGGCGGUGCAAGUCAGCGGUAAAAGCCCGGGGCUCAACCCCGGCGAGCCGUUGAAACUGCAGUGCUAGAGAAGGCGAGAGGUACGCGGAAUGCGCAGUGUAGCGGUGAAAUGCUUAGAUAUUGCGCAGAACUCCGAUUGCGAAGGCAGCGUACUGGCGCCUGACUGACGCUGAGGCACGAAAGCGUGGGGAUCGAACAGGAUUAGAUACCC
RNAcentral lists this ribosomal RNA (434 nucleotides) under uncultured bacterium. Its description in RNAcentral is "bacterial SSU rRNA". It matches the Rfam family "Bacterial small subunit ribosomal RNA", at positions 355 to 787 of the family's 1533-position model. The record is from RNAcentral.